UAUUGGGCGUAAGAGCUCGUAGGCGGUUUGUCGCGUCUGCUGUGAAAGCCCGGGGCUUAACCCCGGGUGUGCAGUGGGUACGGGCAGACUUGAGUGCAGUAGGGGAGACUGGAAUUCCUGGUGUAGCGGUGAAAUGCGCAGAUAUCAGGAGGAACACCGAUGGCGAAGGCAGGUCUCUGGGCUGUUACUGACGCUGAGGAGCGAAAGCAUGGGGAGCGAACAGGAUUAGAUACCCUGGUAGUCCAUGCCGUAAACGUUGGGCACUAGGUGUGGGGAACAUUCCACGUUUUCCGCGCCGUAGCUAACGCAUUAAGUGCCCCGCCUGGGGAGUACGGCCGCAAGGCUAAAACUCAAAGGAAUUGACGGGGGCCCGCACAAGCGGCGGAGCAUGCGGAUUAAUUCGAUGCAACGCGAAGAACCUUACCAAGGCUUGACAUACACCGGACCGGGCCAGAGAUGGUCUUUCCCCCUUGUGGGGCUGGUGUACAGGUGGUGCAUGGUUGUCGUCAGCUCGUGUCGUGAGAUGUUGGGUUAAGUCCCGCAACGAGCGCAACCCUCGUUCUAUGUUGCCAGCACGUGAUGGUGGGGACUCAUAGGAGACUGCCGGGGUCAACUCGGAGGAAGGUGGGGAUGACGUCAAAUCAUCAUGCCCCUUAUGUCUUGGGCUUCACGCAUGCUACAAUGGCCAGUACAAUGGGUUGCGAUGCCGUGAGGUGGAGCUAAUCCCAAAAAGCUGGUCUCAGUUCGGGAUCGUGGUCUGCAACUCGACCACGUGAAGUCGGAGUCGUUAGUAAUCGCAGAUCAGCAACGCUGCGGGUGAAUACGUUCCCGGGGCCUUUGUACACACCGCCCGUCAAGUCACGAAAGUUGGUAACACCCGAAGCCGGUGGCCUAACCCUUGUGGGGGGAGCCGUCCAAAGGUGGGACUGGCCAUUGGGGACAAGUCUUACCAGGGUACCCG
Molecule: ribosomal RNA, 961 nt
Filed under: Kocuria sp.
Lineage: Bacteria; Bacillati; Actinomycetota; Actinomycetes; Micrococcales; Micrococcaceae
Description: bacterial SSU rRNA
Rfam family: Bacterial small subunit ribosomal RNA
Source: RNAcentral